AGACACACUUCAUUGAAGCACAGUUUGUUCUGGAUAAAUGGGAAUUUUCAGCAGCUGUAGUUUUUUUUUAAAAGCUGAUAGGAGGAGAUGUUAUUUAUAACUCCCUGUAGCAGCUCCUCUUUAAUGCAUGAUAAUCUGCUGUGACUUUACAAUGAAUGCAGCAACAUGUGGUCUCCUGCUCUCCUUCAGUAACCGACAGAAUAUUUCCCAGAUGAAGAAUAUUUUAAUCACUGCAUGCAAAUUUCCUGAAGGAUGAUAAAAGCAUUUCUUUAUGUUAUCAUUAUCUUUAUAAAUCUAAAAUUAUGUUUUCCCAUGUCUCUUUCUUAGGAACACGAAGCAAGUAAGCCUAGAUUUUUCUUACAUCCUGCCAUGAAAUAGUAAUUUGCUGUUCACCAGGGAAAUAGUAAAGUAGCAGGCAUUCUUAUAAAGCAUUAAAUUCCAAAAUUCGGAAAAACUUAGUUCGCAAGAUAGAAGAAUAUCAGUAAUUUUCCAGUUUUCCACAGAAGGUGGCAGCAUUCUGAAGCACUGGUGUCAGUAUGAACUUGCUAGCAAAUGUCGUUGUUGAAAGAACACAAACUUUACAGAAAUUUACUCUCCUUGGAAAUUGUGGUGAACACAAACCAGAGUGCUUGGGCAUGAAUUGUUGAACUGGGGAACCUGGUCAGGGAGGAGAAACUGUAUUCACAUAGGUGGAGUAUAUCAUAGGACAAAUUUAACCCCAAAAAGAUUCUUUGUUUAUUUAGCCAUGUUUAUUUGUCAAUGCAGUAAUACUGCUGGAGUGCCUCUUGUCUGCAGCUAAGUGAAAAAUUACUUGCUUCUAGGUUAUGCCUUUUUCACAGAAUAACUCAGCUGAUAAUUAGUGGAUCACUCCACUAAUUGCAGAGAAUGUUCUGUUGGGCUACAGCUUUGGGAGAUGACUGUCACCAGAGAGGGGAAGCUUCUCCUAUGGUUUUCUCCAUUCCUUUGCCCACUCCCAGCAGUGUUCUCCAGCUCCUUACCAUGCCAGCCUCCAUCUAGCACCUGGGGGAACCUGCUUAGGCAAGCAAAUUUGAGCUCCUGAGCUAGCAAAAAAACAAAACCAAAAUAACAGUGGAAAAAUUGAGUCAUAUUCUACCAGAGUAAGAAAGGCUGAGGGCCGUAUGACUGGAAUCAGGAUAAGAAAAGACAGGGGAGGAGGAAGCGCAAGCCUUCCCCUUUUGGCAUGAGGGAGCUGUUAACAUUGACAGCUGCUUGUGAAACCGCAGCCUUAGGGCGGGCUGCUUAGUUACAGGAUUCAGCUCUUGAUCCCAAACUCAAUCCCAGCACGCAGAUUUUACAGCCCCUUUUGACAUGCAAACACUCCCAGCCUGAGCUGCCGUUUAUCAGACAUCUCAUCUGAGCAAGGAAGUGGUGACAGACAACCAAAAGGCAGGAGCUGCUUAAAUCUUUCACCUGUAAUUAACCUUGCAAGCACUGCUCACUCCUCAGAGUGCCUCAGACAGGUGAGGGAAGGCCACACGGGAAGCUCAUUUAAACAAGUGACUUUCUCAUCGCUACAUAUACAGAACAUUGAAGGAACUCGAGGAAUAGCUGAGACAGCACACGACUCCAGUUUUCCUCCCUUCAGCAGAUUCAAAAAGUCCCUCUAUCCUAGGAAGAAGGGAGAGGCUGAUUUUUGCUUUAUAGAAGGAGUGAGACAGGAAAAUUGGAUCCUUCAGAGGAAGAGAUGCUUGCCAAUGAAGAACCCGUCUGCUUGGCAGAUUUUUCCUUUUCUUUCAUUGGAAUGAAAAUUAACAACAACAAACCAACCUCAAAAAGUGGCUGAGAUAUUCCACAGCAGACUGGCUGCAGCAGAAGUUACUUGGGGGGACCCAGCAUUAAUGCUGGAAGUCAGUGGCAAGUCCCCAGGGUGAAUCUUCUGGGCUUUUUAUACUUUCCUUGAGCAUUCCACGGCUCUUUUUGACGAGCUGGCAUGCUGGGAUGAGAACCCCAAUAAGUGGUACAGGUUGAAGCGUUCCCGUGUGUUACAGCAACCCGAUGACUCAGGGAACAAAUGUUUCCUUUUUUUUUUUUCGGGGUAAUGAUGCAUUGAGCUGAAGCGACCCGGGGAGAAGCGGAGUGCAGGGCUAAAAAUCUUCCUGGCAGGUGUCAGUCACUGGCAUGAGCCAGGUAGCUACAGGAGUUGAAGGUGAAAGAGGCAGUUCCCCUCUGAAAUUCCUGUGUGGAUAGCACGUGAGACAACAGGGAUUGGAGAAUGCCCUGACUGCCUGGAGUUAAAGAGGGCAAUUCGCUGAAAAAGCCGGGGACCCUGUUCGAAAUGGGGGCAGGUAGAAUUUGAAUAGUUGCUUUUGUUUUGGUGUUUUUCUUUAUACGGGGAGGCAGGAAAAAAACUGGGCUGGGAAUUGCUCCUUGCCCAUUUUGCUUGCAUGCUGAAUGUGAGGUGGUUUUGUUUGUUUGUUUUUGGUUUUGUUUUUGUUUGGUUGUUGUUUGUCAGGGGAAGAGGGGAACAGGAAUAAAAAGGACUGCAGAUAGCUACAUCUGGAGGGAAGGCUGGUUACAGUUGGUUUACAGGGAUUUGGGUCUGGGACAGAGAAUGGAUACAUGUGUGAGUGGUACACAGUGUUCCAGACCAUUCCAGAAAAAGGGGAGGAGGCUGUUGUCUGAAACUUUUGGGAAUUGCUGAGAUAAAGUCAACUGCUCCAUUCUCUUGAUUUGAAGGGCUCAAACAGUUGAAUAUUAGAUGUCAGCUGGAAAUUGCAACUUGCAGGGUGGGGAAGGUAAGGAGAAGCUUCCUGAACCAUAUCUAGGGAGUAGUUCUUGAAUGUGAAGCCCUUCUCCAGUCUCUGUAAUGGUGAGUCUGGGCCUUGGAGUGAUUGCACUCUGCAACAGAGUCAGCGUGUUGGUAUCUGAAGCGUGACACUCAGUGCCGCAUUGACAGGACCGUGUUGACCUGCCUGGAGUCACUGCGGCUUUAUUGGUGUUUUCUUAACACCAGCUCCUGUGGAGUUGUAGACUAUCAUCUACAGCCUUUUCCUGUAAGUAUUUUAAAUGAUGCUGUUAUGUGUCUUGGUUUCUAAAAAGAUGAUUAAUUCUUCUGUUCAGUGUGAAAUGUGGAUGGAUUAGUUCCUCUGUAUACAAAGAACCAUAUUUGCCUAUUGGAAAUUUUCCUGGUUUUUAAGUUUGUUUUUUUUUUUGUUUUUUGGUCUUUUUUUUAGCCAGGAGUGGACAUAAUAAAUUACAUAAUAAAUUACACCUUAGUCUUGGUCUUUAUGAUCUGGUGUUAAGACAGCUGAGGCCACAAAUGGCUCUUGGGUUACUGAAAGCCUCACAGAGAAAAAGAACCAUAUUAUGCAUUGAUUCCAAGAGAAAACUGUGAAAAGGUGGAUGUUCUGGAGCAUGUAUAUGGUAUGGCCUGUCUUGGUCAGGAGGGUUGAACUAGAUCACCUCUAGAGGACCCCACCAACUUCAGCUACUUUGGGAUUCUGAAAUAGGAGGAAAGUUUUUUUAAGAGAAAAUCUGAGAAAGCUUGAAGAUACCCAUAUUAAGAUUUGAUUGUUACCACCUUGCACACUGUGCUUUUCCCUGAUGGGAUACAAGGACACUGUACAUCUGGAGGAGGAACACCAGCUUUACAAAUUUUUGCUUGAUGCAGCUUUAAACAUAAAUGUCCCAUGGAGAUCUGUAUAGGGAUUGGACCUAAAUUAAGACAGUGCAGAGAGACAGAAAUUCUGGCAUUAAUCAUAUUACUUUUAUUUAAACGGUAAGGUGUGAUUUAAUGUAAGUGGUUUUAUUUUUAUUAAUACUUGAUGCUGAAUUUUGAACAGCUGUACCUAAACACUUUUACAAAUAUAACACUAAAUACACUGUUUAUUGCUCAUUGUUUUUGCAUGAACAUAAAACCUGGAAAUGAAUACAAGAAUAAAUAAGGCACCCUACUAAUAUACUAUUUUCUGUAUUGUAGUAGCAUGCACAAAAUUUCAUUUUGCUUUUGCAAAUCACUUUCCUAAUUUUUCUUAUUAAAGACAUAAUAAGUUUGUUAUUUGGGCAAGUGCCUGUUUGAAAAGUCAAAACUUGAAAGCACUUUUUAAUUUUCUUAAUUCAACCAUCUACCUUACAAAACAGCUCUCGUAUAGCAUGUCCCAAUUUCUUUUUCUAAAGACAAAAAGUAUUUUUGUUCUUUGCUGUUACUAGGAAACAUGCCUUGCAAGAGGAGUGUUCACGUACUGCUUGAGACAAAAGACCUGACUAGCUUUUUUUUAGCUGCAUUUUCUUCUUGUACUGACCCUGCUCAAAAGAUAAAAA
This is a long non-coding RNA of Catharus ustulatus (Swainson's thrush), 4281 nucleotides long. RefSeq lists it as uncharacterized. The record is from RefSeq and is a predicted model, not a curated record. The transcript has 2 exons. NCBI's taxonomy places the organism in Eukaryota, Metazoa, Chordata, Aves, Passeriformes, Turdidae.